AGAGUUUGAUCAUGGCUCAGAACGAACGCUGGCGGCAUGCCUAACACAUGCAAGUCGAACGCUCCUGGGGUUUCGGCCCCAGGGGAGUGGCGCACGGGUGAGUAGCGCGUGGGAACCUGCCCUGUUGUGGGGGAUAACCGAGGGAAACUUCGGCUAAUACCGCAUAAGCCGGCUGUCUUGAGAGAGAUUGGCCGGGAAAGAUUUAUCGCGACAGGAGGGGCCCGCGUCGGAUUAGCUGGUUGGUGGGGUAACGGCCUACCAAGGCGAUGAUCCGUAGCUGGUCUGAGAGGAUGAUCAGCCACACUGGGACUGAGACACGGCCCAGACUCCUACGGGAGGCAGCAGUGGGGAAUAUUGGACAAUGGGCGCAAGCCUGAUCCAGCAAUGCCGCGUGAGUGAUGAAGGCCUUAGGGUUGUAAAGCUCUUUCGCCCGCGACGAUGAUGACGGUAGCGGGAGAAGAAGCCCCGGCUAACUUCGUGCCAGCAGCCGCGGUAAUACGAAGGGGGCGAGCGUUGUUCGGAUUUACUGGGCGUAAAGGGCGCGUAGGCGGCGGGUCAAGUCGAGUGUGAAAGCCCCGGGCUCAACCUGGGAAUUGCGCUCGAGACUGGGCUGCUUGAGUUCGGGAGAGGAGCGUGGAAUUCCCAGUGUAGAGGUGAAAUUCGUAGAUAUUGGGAAGAACACCGGUGGCGAAGGCGGCGCUCUGGACCGAGACUGACGCUGAGGCGCGAAAGCGUGGGGAGCAAACAGGAUUAGAUACCCUAGUAGUCC
Molecule: ribosomal RNA, 769 nt
Filed under: uncultured bacterium
Lineage: Bacteria
Description: bacterial SSU rRNA
Rfam family: Bacterial small subunit ribosomal RNA
Source: RNAcentral